Molecule: ribosomal RNA, 1431 nt
Filed under: metagenome
Description: bacterial SSU rRNA
Rfam family: Archaeal small subunit ribosomal RNA
Source: RNAcentral
GUUGAUCCUGCGGGAGGUUGCUGCUAUUAGGAUUCGACUAAGCCAUGCAAGUCAAGGGGACUUCGGUCACCGGCAUCAUGCUCAGUAACACGUCAAUAAUCUGCCCUUAAGUCUGGGAUAACCACGGGAAACUGUGGCUAAUACCGGAUAGGAUAAAGGUACUGGAACAUUCCUUUAUCUGAAAGCUCCGGUGCUUAAGGAUGAGUUGGCGGCCGAUUAGGUUGUUGGUGGGGUAAAGGCCCACCAAGCCUUCGAUCGGUAGGGGCCCUGAGAGGGGUAGCCCCGAGAAGGGCACUGAGAUACUGGCCCUAGCCCUACGGGGUGCAGCAGGCGCGAAAACUUUACAAUGUACGAAAGUGCGAUAAGGGAAUCCUAAGUGCUUACGCUUUGCGUAGGCUUUUGCCAAGGGUAAAUACCUUGGCGAAUAAGUGGUGGGUAAGACGGGUGCCAGCCGCCGCGGUAACACCUGCGCCACGAGUGGGAACCACUUUUAUUGGGCCUAAAGCGUCCGUAGCUUGUCAAGUAAAUCUUCUGUGAAAUCGUUAGGCUUAACUUAACGGCGUGCAGAAGACACUGCUUGACUUGGGACUGGGAGGAGCUAGAAGUAUUUUUGGGGGAGCGGUAAAAUGCUAUAAUCCCAAAAAGACUACCGAUGGCGAAGGCAUCUAGCUAGAACAGAUCCGACGGUCAGGGACGAAAGCCAGGGGAGCAAACCGGAUUAGAUACCCGAGUAGUCCUGGCUGUAAACGCUGUGAGCAAGGUGUUGCAUAUUCUUCGUGAAUGUGCAGUGUCGAAACGAAGGUGUUAAGCUCACCGCCUGGGAAGUAUGGUCGCAAGACUGAAACUUAAAGGAAUUGGCGGGGGAGCACUACAAGGGGUGCGGCGUGCGGUUUAAUCUAACUCAACACAGAGAAUCUCACCAGGGGCGACGGCAGGAUGAAAGUCAGCUUGAAGAGCUUACUUAACGAGCCGAGAGGUAGUGCAUGGCCGCCGUCAGCUCGUGCCGUAAGGUGUCCUGUUAAGUCAGGUAACGAGCGAGACCUGUACCUACAAUUGCUAGCGGCUGAAUUUCAGGACCGAGCACAUUGUGGGGACUGCCUCCGAAAGGGGGAGGAAGGUGCAGGCUACGGUAGGUCUGUAUGCUCCGAAUCCUUUGGGCUACACGCGCGCAACAAUGGUACGGACAAUGGGCUACAACUCCGAAAGGAGAAGUUAAUCCUCGAAACCGUAUCUCAGUUCAGAUUGAGGAUUGUAACUCAUCCUCAUGACGUCGGAAUCCCUAGUAAUCGGGUUUUAUCAGAGCCCGGUGAAUAUGUCCCUGCUCCUUGCACACACCGCCCGUCAAACCACCCGAGUAGGGUUUAGAUGAGGCCUUAUUUUUAAUAAGUUCAAAUCUAAGCUCAGCGAGGAGGGUUAAGUCGUCACAAGGUA